Molecule: ribosomal RNA, 849 nt
Filed under: Triticum aestivum (bread wheat)
Lineage: Eukaryota; Viridiplantae; Streptophyta; Magnoliopsida; Poales; Poaceae
Description: partial small subunit ribosomal RNA
Source: RNAcentral
AUGACCCACUUUUUGAGGUGGAAGAGGACGGGCAGCACUCGCUUUGCAGCUUUGAAACUGGAUAUGAGCAAAGCUUAUGAUCGUGUGGAGUGGGAAUUCCUGGAGAAGAUCAUGCUCCAGCUCGGGUUUGCACCGGCGUUUGUGGCCCACAUCUGCAAGUGCAUGACCACUGUUCGAUACCGUUUCAAGAUCAAUGAUGGUUGUAUGGACACGGUGAUUCCGGGGCGGGGGUUGAGGCAAGGAGAUCCGGCCUCGCCGUAUCUCUCUCUGAUUUGUGCAGAAGGGCUCUCGUCUUUGAUCAACCGGGCGGAGGAGUUGGGCCGGCUUCGGGGUAUAAGGAUUGCACCUACUGCACCGUCCAUAACCCACCUGCUCUUUGCUGACGACUCACUCCUUCUCAUGGAGGCUACGGAGGAGAGUAUGGCCACCAUAAAUGAGAUCCUAGAGGUUUAUGAAAGGGGAUCGGGUCAAACGAUCAACCGGGACAAAUCGGCAAUACAGUUCAGCAAGAACACUCCAGUCCAGAAGAAACAAGUGUUGCUCCACAGUUUGGGCCUGAGAGGAGAAGGAAUGCAAGGGAAGUAUAUAGGCCUCCCUAGUUACGUGGGUAGAUCCUGGCAGUUAUGCUUCGAGUACAUCCGGGACAAAAUCUGGGAGCUACUCCAAGGGUACAAGAUUAGGCUCUUAUCAAAGAAGGGGAAGGAGAUUUUGAUCAAAACAGUGGCCCAAGCUAUCCCCACGUAUGCCAUGGCCUGCUUUGAUCUGACGAAGGGCCUUUGCGAUGAUAUCUGCGCUAUGAUAUGCCGGUUCUGGUGGGCAAACCAAGAUGAUGAACAUAAACACCACUAG